GACGUAGGGCGCGAGCGUUGUCCGGAUUUAUUGGGCGUAAAGAGCUCGUCGGCGGCUUGUCGCGUCGUCCGUGAAAACCUGCAGCUCAACUGCAGGCUUGCGGUCGAUACGGGCAGGCUAGAGUUCGGUAGGGGAGACUGGAAUUCCUGGUGUAGCGGUGAAAUGCGCAGAUAUCAGGAGGAACACCGGUGGCGAAGGCGGGUCGCUGGGCCGAUACUGACGCUGAGGAGCGAAAGCGUGGGGAGCGAACAGG
RNAcentral lists this ribosomal RNA (253 nucleotides) under uncultured bacterium. RNAcentral's name for it is "partial 16S ribosomal RNA". It matches the Rfam family "Bacterial small subunit ribosomal RNA", at positions 524 to 776 of the family's 1533-position model. The record is from RNAcentral.